Molecule: non-coding RNA, 26 nt
Filed under: Rattus norvegicus (Norway rat)
Lineage: Eukaryota; Metazoa; Chordata; Mammalia; Rodentia; Muridae
Source: RNAcentral
UGGAAAGGCUGACUUGUGCACACUGU